RNAcentral lists this ribosomal RNA (252 nucleotides) under uncultured bacterium. Its description in RNAcentral is "partial 16S ribosomal RNA". It matches the Rfam family "Bacterial small subunit ribosomal RNA", at positions 524 to 776 of the family's 1533-position model. The record is from RNAcentral.
UACGAAGGGGCUAGCGUUGCUCGGAAUUACUGGGCGUAAAGGGCGCGUAGGCGGACAGUUUAGUCAGAGGUGAAAGCCCAGGGCUCAACCUUGGAAUUGCCUUUGAUACUGGCUGUCUUGAGUUCGGGAGAGGUGAGUGGAAUGCCGAGUGUAGAGGUGAAAUUCGUAGAUAUUCGGCGGAACACCAGUGGCGAAGGCGACUCACUGGCCCGAUACUGACACUGAGGCGCGAAAGCGUGGGGAGCAAACAGG